GAUGAACGCUGGCGGCGUGCUUAAUACAUGCAAGUCGAACGGGAAACCUUUUCUUGAAGUUUCGGCAGAUUUAGCUGGUUUCUAGUGGCGGACGGGUAAGUCACGCGUGGGUAACCUGCCUUAUACAGGGGGCUAACAGUCAGAAAUGGCUGCUCAUACCGCAUAAGCGCACAGAGCUGCAUGUGUUAGUGUGAUAAAGUCCGGUGGCAUAAGAAGGAACCACCGUGGAUUAGCUGGUUGGUGGGGUAACGGCCCAGCAAGGCGGCGAGCCAUAGCCGGCCUGGGAGGGCGAACCGGCACAUUGGGAGUGGGACACGGACCAGACUCCUACGGAAGGCAGCAGUGGGGAAUAGUGCACAAUGGGGGAGACCAUGAGGCAGCGGCGCCGCGUGGAGGAAGAAGUAUAUAGGUAUGUAAGCUUCUAUCAGCAGGGAAGAUAAUGACGGUACCUGACGAGGAAGCGCCGGCUAACUACGUG
RNAcentral lists this ribosomal RNA (478 nucleotides) under uncultured bacterium. RNAcentral's name for it is "partial 16S ribosomal RNA". It matches the Rfam family "Bacterial small subunit ribosomal RNA", at positions 28 to 507 of the family's 1533-position model. The record is from RNAcentral.